GGUGAUGUGGGUCAAAUGGUAGAGCAUAUGAUUGGCAAGCAUCAGUCUCUGAGUUCAAAACCCAGUACUGCCA
This 73-nucleotide transfer RNA is filed under the name Dipodomys ordii (Ord's kangaroo rat). It matches the Rfam family "tRNA". Rfam says of the family: Transfer RNA (tRNA) molecules are approximately 80 nucleotides in length. Lineage: Eukaryota; Metazoa; Chordata; Mammalia; Rodentia; Heteromyidae. The record is from Rfam by way of RNAcentral.